GGACUGUGGCUCAGCGGUAGAGUGCUCUCCUAGCACGGCAGGACCCGGGUUCGAUCCUCAGCACCA
RNAcentral lists this transfer RNA (66 nucleotides) under Marmota monax (woodchuck). RNAcentral's name for it is "tRNA.Ala". Lineage: Eukaryota; Metazoa; Chordata; Mammalia; Rodentia; Sciuridae. The record is from RNAcentral.